RNAcentral lists this ribosomal RNA (630 nucleotides) under Pseudomonas sp. WD13. RNAcentral's name for it is "bacterial SSU rRNA". It matches the Rfam family "Bacterial small subunit ribosomal RNA", at positions 56 to 681 of the family's 1533-position model. Lineage: Bacteria; Pseudomonadati; Pseudomonadota; Gammaproteobacteria; Pseudomonadales; Pseudomonadaceae. The record is from RNAcentral.
UGCAAGUCGAGCGGUAGAGAGAAGCUUGCUUCUCUUGAGAGCGGCGGACGGGUGAGUAAUGCCUAGGAAUCUGCCUGGUAGUGGGGGAUAACGUUCGGAAACGGACGCUAAUACCGCAUACGUCCUACGGGAGAAAGCAGGGGACCUUCGGGCCUUGCGCUAUCAGAUGAGCCUAGGUCGGAUUAGCUAGUUGGUGAGGUAAUGGCUCACCAAGGCGACGAUCCGUAACUGGUCUGAGAGGAUGAUCAGUCACACUGGAACUGAGACACGGUCCAGACUCCUACGGGAGGCAGCAGUGGGGAAUAUUGGACAAUGGGCGAAAGCCUGAUCCAGCCAUGCCGCGUGUGUGAAGAAGGUCUUCGGAUUGUAAAGCACUUUAAGUUGGGAGGAAGAGCAGUUACCUAAUACGUGAUUGUUUUGACGUUACCGACAGAAUAAGCACCGGCUAACUCUGUGCCAGCAGCCGCGGUAAUACAGAGGGUGCAAGCGUUAAUCGGAAUUACUGGGCGUAAAGCGCGCGUAGGUGGUUAGUUAAGUUGGAUGUGAAAUCCCCGGGCUCAACCUGGGAACUGCAUUCAAAACUGACUGACUAGAGUAUGGUAGAGGGUGGUGGAAUUUCCUGUGUAGCGG